RNAcentral lists this ribosomal RNA (182 nucleotides) under uncultured Geminigera. RNAcentral's name for it is "partial Eukaryotic large subunit ribosomal RNA". It matches the Rfam family "Eukaryotic large subunit ribosomal RNA", at positions 275 to 456 of the family's 3401-position model. Lineage: Eukaryota; Cryptophyceae; Pyrenomonadales; Geminigeraceae. The record is from RNAcentral.
UGGGAUUGCAGCUCUAAUUUGGUGGUAAAUUCCAUCUAAAGCUAAAUAUUGGUGGGAGACCGAUAGCGUACAAGUACCGUGAGGGAAAGAUGCAAAGAACUUUGAAAAGAGAGUUAAAGAGUACCUGAAAUUGCUGAAACGGAAGCGAAGGAAACCAGUGUUUGUUGGUUCAUAUUUCCUUA